This 253-nucleotide ribosomal RNA is filed under the name uncultured bacterium. Its description in RNAcentral is "partial 16S ribosomal RNA". It matches the Rfam family "Bacterial small subunit ribosomal RNA", at positions 524 to 776 of the family's 1533-position model. The record is from RNAcentral.
UACGUAGGGUGCGAGCGUUAAUCGGAAUUACUGGGCGUAAAGCGUGCGCAGGCGGUUUUGUAAGCCAGAUGUGAAAGCCCCGGGCUUAACCUGGGAAUGGCAUUUGGGACUGCAAGGCUUGAGUGCGGCAGAGGAGACUGGAAUUCCUGGUGUAGCAGUGAAAUGCGUAGAUAUCAGGAGGAAUACCGAUGGCGAAGGCAGGUCUCUGGGCUGACACUGACGCUCAUGCACGAAAGCGUGGGGAGCAAAAGGG